Hesseltinella vesiculosa is the source of this 73-nucleotide non-coding RNA. The record is from the annotation of a GenBank genome assembly. Lineage: Eukaryota; Fungi; Mucoromycota; Mucoromycetes; Mucorales; Cunninghamellaceae.
GCCCUGCUAGCUCAAUCGGUAGAGCGUGAGACUCUUAAUCUCAAGGCUGUGGGUUCGACCCCCACGUAGGGCU